Molecule: long non-coding RNA, 420 nt
Filed under: Prunus persica (peach)
Lineage: Eukaryota; Viridiplantae; Streptophyta; Magnoliopsida; Rosales; Rosaceae
Description: long non-coding RNA (PPER_LNC003006)
Source: RNAcentral
UGUCAUCAAGUUGCAGUGGACAAGCAAACAAAAAGGCUCGUGCGAACUCGCAAUCAAAGAAAACAUGUUGCUGAGUUUCUCCUUCAGUCGUACAUAGCGGGCACACGUUAGGGACAUCUAUUCUUUUACACCGCAGAGCCAGUGAAUUCAUUAAACCUCGCCACAUAAAGAAUUUGAUUUUUGGAGGGAGUUGGAGCUUCCAAUUACCACUCCAGCCUUCAUGAUGUUGAGUACGGGUACUGUUUUCACCUUCUCUUUUCUUAUACAACUCUCCAUUCCGUCUCAGAGAUAAAGACACAUUGUACCUAGAUUUAACCAUAUACCGGUCCUGUUUAUUCCAAUGCUAAAUCAACUGAUUUGAUCAACCUUAAGUUGAAGUGUGAACGGAAAGUAUGGGGUGUUGGGUUUCAUGGAUCUUCC